Molecule: long non-coding RNA, 249 nt
Filed under: Phoenix dactylifera (date palm)
Lineage: Eukaryota; Viridiplantae; Streptophyta; Magnoliopsida; Arecales; Arecaceae
Description: long non-coding RNA (PDAC_LNC015993)
Source: RNAcentral
UUUAUGACCAUAGGAUUGAUUAGUUAGCCUCAAAUCUUUGUUUUUAAGAUUUAUUGAUUUAUACUCAUCCAUUAGCUCAUUAAACGCAUCAUACAAUUCUUCAAAAGUAAAAUUUAAAUGAGUUUCAGAUGUUACCUCAUUUUUAUUUGCCAUAAAGCAAAGAUUUGCUUUUUUCUCUUGUUCCUCAUCCGAUGAUGAUGAUGAUUGAUUGGAGUCUGUCAAAGUGGAGACAAGAGCUUUCUUCUUCUU